Molecule: transfer RNA, 77 nt
Filed under: Methylocystis hirsuta
Lineage: Bacteria; Pseudomonadati; Pseudomonadota; Alphaproteobacteria; Hyphomicrobiales; Methylocystaceae
Description: tRNA-Arg
Rfam family: tRNA
About the family: Transfer RNA (tRNA) molecules are approximately 80 nucleotides in length.
Source: RNAcentral
GCGCCCGUAGCUCAGCUGGAUAGAGCGUUGCCCUCCGAAGGCAGAGGUCAGAGGUUCGAAUCCUCUCGGGCGCACCA